This 493-nucleotide ribosomal RNA is filed under the name uncultured bacterium. Its description in RNAcentral is "partial 16S ribosomal RNA". It matches the Rfam family "Bacterial small subunit ribosomal RNA", at positions 30 to 523 of the family's 1533-position model. The record is from RNAcentral.
AUUGAACGCUGGCGGCAUGCUUUACACAUGCAAGUCGAACGGUAACAGGUUAAGCUGACGAGUGGCGAACGGGUGAGUAAUGCAUCGGAACGUGCCCGGUCGUGGGGGAUAAUGCAGAGCAAGUUGCCCUAAGACCGCAUACGUUAUGAGGAUGAAAGCGGGGGACCGCAACGCUUCGCGCUAUCGGAGCGGCCGGUGUCGGAUUAGGUAGGCGUUGGGGUAAAGGCUCACCAAGCCAACGAUCAGUAGCUGGUCUGAGAGGACGAGCAGCCACACUGGGACUGAGACACGGCCCAGACUCCUACGGGAGGCAGCAGAGGGGAAUUUUGGACAAUGGGCGAAAUCCUGAUCCAGCAAUGCCGCGUGCAGGAAGAAGGCCUUCGGGUUGUAAACUGCUUUUGUACUGAGCGAAAAGGUCUCCUCUAAUACAGGGGGCACAUGACGGUACCGUAAGAAUAAGCACCGGCUAACUACGUGCCAGCCGCCGCAGUAA